GCUAAGGAAAGUGGCAGUCACACAGGAGGGCUGGAAGAGGACGUGGUCUUGAUUGAGGGAAAGAGGAGGAAGUGUUGGGUAGACAAGCGUCUUUUAGGGUUUAAAGCUUUGACUCAUCAAGGAGACUUCGUACAGAAGACAGGCCCUCUAAACAGACCUAUCCUCAAAGAAAUCGAGUCAGUCUGUGUUUUUGUAUUUGGACGCAGAAAAUCUCAUUAUAAAAAGGGAGGUGGGGGAAAGACCCAACCGUGGUCUUGAGGUUCCAUGCCUGCUUUUCAAAUUCUGCUCCUCUGAACUUAGCCAUUUUCCUGUGGAUUCAAUUUAAAAAACUGGCACAUUUGUUGAGAGGUGAUUCUGAGUGCAAAAAUGCCCCCUUUGGACGCAAACAGAAAGCUUUGAGAAGCCACAGAAAGUUGAGGGUAGGGGUUGGGUGAAAUAAUAUGAUAGAAUGCUAUUUUAUUUCUUCAUCCAUAUGCUAUAUCUAAUAUGGGCCAUUCAUACUUGCACUAUGGUUGCCAUCAUCAUCAUCAUCAUAAUCAAGAAUAAACAUUUAUUUAUACAUAAACAA
Long non-coding RNA from Hemicordylus capensis (graceful crag lizard), 568 nucleotides. RefSeq lists it as uncharacterized. The transcript is spliced from 2 exons. Lineage: Eukaryota; Metazoa; Chordata; Lepidosauria; Squamata; Cordylidae. The record is from RefSeq and is a predicted model, not a curated record.